GAUGAACGCUGACAGAAUGCUUAACACAUGCAAGUCAACUUGAAUUUGGGUUUUUAUCUUCGGUUUGGGUGGCGGACGGGUGAGUAACGCGUAAAGAACUUGCCUCACAGCUAGGGACAACAAUCGGAAACGAAUGCUAAUACCUAAUAUUAUGAUAAUAGGGCAUCCUAUAUUUAUGAAAGCUAUAAGCCGUGUGAGAGAGCUUUGCGUCCCACUAGCUAGUUGGAGAGGUAACGGCUCACCAAGGGGAUGAUGGGUAGCCGGCCUGAGAGGGUGAUCGGCCACAAGGGGACUGAGGCACGGCCCUUACUCCUACGGGAGGCAGCAGUGGAGAACAUUGGACAAUAGACCGAGAGUCUGAUCCAGCAAUUCUGUGUGCACGAUGAAGUUUUUCGGAAUGUAAAGUGCUUUCAGUUAGGAAGAAACGAAUGACGGUACCAACAGAAGAAGUGACGGCUAAAUACGUG
RNAcentral lists this ribosomal RNA (467 nucleotides) under uncultured bacterium. RNAcentral describes it as "partial 16S ribosomal RNA". It matches the Rfam family "Bacterial small subunit ribosomal RNA", at positions 28 to 507 of the family's 1533-position model. The record is from RNAcentral.